This 432-nucleotide ribosomal RNA is filed under the name Pachynaias spheniopsis. RNAcentral describes it as "partial 28S large subunit ribosomal RNA". Lineage: Eukaryota; Metazoa; Mollusca; Bivalvia; Unionida; Unionidae. The record is from RNAcentral.
UUAGAGGCAAACGGGUGGACCCGCAAUACGUCGACCCGGGGGAUUCAACCAGGCCGUGCGUUCGGGACGCGUGGGGGUUAUGCGGAGCUGUAAAGCCCGUGCCUUUGCGCAGGUCUCCGGGCGGACUGGUGCACUUUCCUCGGGUUGAUUGCCACGACCGGCUCUCCGUGCGGCCACAAGCCUUUGCUGGGAAGGUGACCGUCGGCCUCCGCGCCGGCGGUGUUAUAGACCAGCUUGUUCGUUGAGCUCGUCGGAGGGCCGAGGAAGUGUUGCCGUUUCUCGUCCACCCUCCGGCCAUCCUUGCUCGUCACGACUGGGGUGAACUGCUCCGUCAGUGCUCUCCCGACCGCGAGCUUUGGAAGGGCUGGUACGGUGCGAGAAAGCUUCGGGCCAGUGGCGAAUCGGUCGGUCCUCCACCCGACCCGUCUUGAA